ACGCUCGACACCUACGGGAGCAGCAGUGGGGAAUAUUGCACAAUGGGGGAAACCCUGAUGCAGCGACGCCGCGUGAAGGAAGAAGUAUUUCGGUAUGUAAACUUCUAUCAGCAGGGAAGAAAAUGACGGUACCUGAGUAAGAAGCACCGGCUAAAUACGUGCAGCAGCCGCGGUAAUCUGAGCGGGCUGGCAAGGC
This 196-nucleotide ribosomal RNA is filed under the name uncultured bacterium. RNAcentral's name for it is "partial 16S ribosomal RNA". It matches the Rfam family "Bacterial small subunit ribosomal RNA", at positions 328 to 539 of the family's 1533-position model. The record is from RNAcentral.